Molecule: ribosomal RNA, 468 nt
Filed under: uncultured bacterium
Lineage: Bacteria
Description: partial 16S ribosomal RNA
Rfam family: Bacterial small subunit ribosomal RNA
Source: RNAcentral
GACGAACGCUGGCGGUGUGCUUAACACAUGCAAGUCGAACGGAAAGGCCCUGCUUUUGUGGGGUGCUCGAGUGGCGAACGGGUGAGUAACACGUGAGUAACCUGCUCUUGACUUUGGGAUAGCUUCAGGAAACUGGGGCUAAUACCGGAUAGGAGCUCCUGCUGCAUGGUGGGGGUUGGAAAGUUUCGGCGGUUGGGGAUGGACGCGCGGCUUAUCAGCUUGUUGGUGGGGUAGUGGCUUACCAAGGCUUUGACGGGUAGCCGGCCUGAGAGGGUGACCGGCCACAUUGGGACUGAGAUACGGCCCAGACUCCUACGGGAGGCAGCAGUGGGGAAUAUUGCACAAUGGGCGGAAGCCUGAUGCAGCAGCGCCGCGUGCGGGAUGACGGCCUUCGGGUUGUAAACCGCUUUCGCCUGUGACGAAGCGUGAGUGACGGUAAUGGGUAAAGAAGCACCGGCUAACUACGUG